AACGGUCAGCCAAUCACAUAAUGUGACGUCAGCAUUAGUCCCAGGACCCCGAAGGACCCCGAACGGAUGUUCCGGGCCGAACGGUUAUUGUACCUACACCGGCGCUUAACGCACAGCAGAUCACACCAACUAUGCCCCACACUACGACCGAAUCUUACCGGCUUCUUCCGUGGUUUGAUGCCUUUAACCAGACAAUAAGGAGGAACUUUCUGUUUAUUCUUCUAUAAAAAUUAAAAAGCCUGCGAACGUUGCAACAGAGAACAAAGAGGAGAACGUCAUAUAUCCUCAAUGUGUACCGAAAAACAUUCGUCCCUCUGCACCACCAAACCAGAACGAAGCCAUUUAUUCUGACAUUAAAAAAGGGAAGAAAAAGAUAAAGAAAGAGAAAGCACCAAAGGUCCAUGGAUCUGGCAGCAGGUCUCGUCUCUUGCUGGUGGGUUUGGGGAUAAUUUGUUUCCUCUUGUGUGCCAUCAUCAUCAUCAGCAUCAGUUACUUCGCCAUGGAAACAAAGAAACUGAAGCUAGCUCUCAGUGACCUUGAAUCAAAAACUGAGCAACUGACUUUAGAGAAGAGAGAUUUACAAAACCAGACUGAAGAUCUGAGGAUGAACAUGACAAAACUAGAGAAUCAGACACAGCAGCUGACUGCAGAGAAGAUGUUCUUCAAGAACCAAACCAUGGAGAUGACGGUUAACAUAACAAUCCUACAAAACCAGACUGAAGAUCUGAGGACGAACAUGACAAAACUAGAGAAUCAGACACAGCAGCUGACUGCAGAGAAGAUGCUCUUCAAGAACCAAACCAAGGAGAUGACGGUUAACAUGACAAUCCUACAAAACCAGAACGAACAGCUCAGAAACAACAGUGACAAACUCAACAGGACCCAGGCAGCAAUCCUCAAGCACCCCAACUUAGCUAUUUUCUGCUCUGAUGGAGUUUGUCAGAAGUGUCCCAAAAACUGGAUUGAGUCUAAGGAAAGCUGCUAUUUUUUUUAUAAUUUAGACUCUUAUAAAGCAUGGAAUGAUAGCCGAGAGUUUUGUCAAAACAUGAAAUCAGACCUGGUGGUUAUCAGCAGUCAUGAGGAACAGAAAUUCAUCUAUGACACAAUAGUUUUCUACCUUGACAAGUGGCACGGAUACUGGAUUGGUUUACAAAAAGUGAACAACAUCUGGACCUGGGUGGAUGACAGUCAAGACAACCUUGGGUACUGGAACAUCUCAGGGAGCCCAGAAGAUUUUGCUAUUAUAGCCAAAAAUCCAGCUUUGACCCAGAGCUGGGUCCAAAACAGAAAUGGCUUUUUGAACAGAUUCAUCUGUGAGAUUAAAGCUUUAAUUUUCUGAU
This is a non-coding RNA of Oryzias latipes (Japanese medaka), 1340 nucleotides long. Lineage: Eukaryota; Metazoa; Chordata; Actinopteri; Beloniformes; Adrianichthyidae. The record is from RefSeq and is a predicted model, not a curated record.